GGAUUAGAUACCCCGGUAGUCUACGCCGUAAACGAUGGAUACUAGCAGUUUUGGGUAUCGACCCCCGGAGUUGCGAAGCUAACGCGUUAAGUAUCCCACCUGUGUAGUACGAUCGCAAGAUUAAAACAUAAAGGAAUUGACGGGGACCCGCACAAGCGGUGGAGCGUGAUCUUUAAUUCGAUGGUAAACGAUAAACCUUACCAAGGCUUGACAUCCGAUGUAGGCUCUCGAAAGAGAACUGUGCCUUCGGGANNNNNNNNNNCCAUCAACGAGCGCAACCCUUGCAACCAGUUGUAUUUUUCUGGUAGGACUGCCCCGGUAACGGGGAGGAAGGAGGGGAUGAUGUCAGGUCAGUAUUUCCCUUACGCCUUGGGCUAGAAUCGCGCUACAAUGGCCGGUACAAUGCGAAGCGAAGCAGUGAUGUGAAGCAAAUCGCACCAAAGCCGGUCCCAGUUCGGAUAAAAGGCUGAAACUCGCCUUUUUGAAGUCGGAAUCGCUAGUAAUCGCAGAUCAGCAUGUUGCGGUGAAUACGUUCCCGGGUCUUGUAC
This 548-nucleotide ribosomal RNA is filed under the name [Eubacterium] sulci. RNAcentral's name for it is "bacterial SSU rRNA". It matches the Rfam family "Bacterial small subunit ribosomal RNA", at positions 775 to 1386 of the family's 1533-position model. The record is from RNAcentral. Lineage: Bacteria; Bacillati; Bacillota; Clostridia; Peptostreptococcales; Anaerovoracaceae.